Molecule: long non-coding RNA, 204 nt
Filed under: Panax ginseng (ginseng)
Lineage: Eukaryota; Viridiplantae; Streptophyta; Magnoliopsida; Apiales; Araliaceae
Description: long non-coding RNA (PGIN_LNC000037)
Source: RNAcentral
UGAAAUUUCCACUUGAAUUAUUUCUUCUAUUAUCUUGGCUAUGAUUACCACCGAAGUGGUUACCAUUUCUGGCAUGAUAAUUUCCUCCACGAUGGUUGUCAUUGUUCCGAUGACCGUUACCACCGGUACGAUUAUCAUCGAGUUGUUGGUCCUUAUUCUUCGGUUGAGCUGACUCAUUAUCGCGCUCCAAUAACUGAGCCCUAU